RNAcentral lists this ribosomal RNA (478 nucleotides) under uncultured bacterium. Its description in RNAcentral is "partial 16S ribosomal RNA". It matches the Rfam family "Bacterial small subunit ribosomal RNA", at positions 28 to 523 of the family's 1533-position model. The record is from RNAcentral.
GACGAACGCUGGCGGCGUGCUUAACACAUGCAAGUCGAACGGUAAGGCCCUUCGGGGUACACGAGUGGUGAACGGGUGAGUAACCCGUGGGUGAUCUGCCCUGCCCUUCGGGAUAAGCCUGGGAAACUGGGUCUUAUACCGGAUAGGACCACUGCCUGCAUGGGUGGUGGUGGAAAGCUGUUGCGGUGUGGGAUGGGCCCGCGGCCUAUCAGCUUGUUGGUGGGGUGAUGGCCUACCAAGGCGACGACGGGUAGCCGGCCUGAGAGGGUGACCGGCCACACUGGGACUGAGAUACGGCCCAGACUCCUACGGGAGGCAGCAGUGGGGAAUAUUGCACAAUGGGCGCAAGCCUGAUGCAGCGACGCCGCGUGAGGGAUGACGGCCUUCGGGUUGUAAACCUCUUUCAGCACCGACGAAGCGCAAGUGACGGUAGGUGCAGAAGAAGGACCGGCCAACUACGUGCCAGCAGCCGCAGUAA